GAUGAACGCUGGCGGCGUGCCUAAUACAUGCAAGUCGAGCGAACGGACGAGAAGCUUGCUUCUCUGAUGUUAGCGGCGGACGGGUGAGUAACACGUGGAUAACCUACCUAUAAGACUGGGAUAACUUCGGGAAACCGGAGCUAAUACCGGAUAAUAUUUUGAACCGCAUGGUUCAAAAGUGAAAGACGGUCUUGCUGUCACUUAUAGAUGGAUCCGCGCUGCAUUAGCUAGUUGGUAAGGUAACGGCUUACCAAGGCAACGAUGCAUAGCCGACCUGAGAGGGUGAUCGGCCACACUGGAACUGAGACACGGUCCAGACUCCUACGGGAGGCAGCAGUAGGGAAUCUUCCGCAAUGGGCGAAAGCCUGACGGAGCAACGCCGCGUGAGUGAUGAAGGUCUUCGGAUCGUAAAACUCUGUUAUUAGGGAAGAACAUAUGUGUAAGUAACUGUGCACAUCUUGACGGUACCUAAUCAGAAAGCCACGGCUAACUACGCGCCAGCAGCCGCGGUAAUACGUAGGUGGCAAGCGUUAUCCGGAAUUAUUGGGCGUAAAGCGCGCGUAGGCGGUUUUUUAAGUCUGAUGUGAAAGCCCACGGCUCAACCGUGGAGGGUCAUUGGAAACUGGAAAACUUGAGUGCAGAAGAGGAAAGUGGAAUUCCAUGUGUAGCGGUGAAAUGCGCAGAGAUAUGGAGGAACACCAGUGGCGAAGGCGACUUUCUGGUCUGUAACUGACGCUGAUGUGCGAAAGCGUGGGGAUCAAACAGGAUUAGAUACCCUGGUAGUCCACGCCGUAAACGAUGAGUGCUAAGUGUUAGGGGGUUUCCGCCCCUUAGUGCUGCAGCUAACGCAUUAAGCACUCCGCCUGGGGAGUACGACCGCAAGGUUGAAACUCAAAGGAAUUGACGGGGACCCGCACAAGCGGUGGAGCAUGUGGUUUAAUUCGAAGCAACGCGAAGAACCUUACCAAAUCUUGACAUCCUUUGACAACUCUAGAGAUAGAGCCUUCCCCUUCGGGGGACAAAGUGACAGGUGGUGCAUGGUUGUCGUCAGCUCGUGUCGUGAGGUGUUGGGUUAAGUCCCGCAACGAGCGCAACCCUUAAGCUUAGUUGCCAUCAUUAAGUUGGGCACUCUAAGUUGACUGCCGGUGACAAACCGGAGGAAGGUGGGGAUGACGUCAAAUCAUCAUGCCCCUUAUGAUUUGGGCUACACACGUGCUACAAUGGACAAUACAAAGGGCAGCGAAACCGCGAGGUCAAGCAAAUCCCAUAAAGUUGUUCUCAGUUCGGAUUGUAGUCUGCAACUCGACUACAUGAAGCUGGAAUCGCUAGUAAUCGUAGAUCAGCAUGCUACGGUGAAUACGUUCCCGGGUCU
This 1372-nucleotide ribosomal RNA is filed under the name uncultured bacterium. RNAcentral's name for it is "bacterial SSU rRNA". It matches the Rfam family "Bacterial small subunit ribosomal RNA", at positions 28 to 1381 of the family's 1533-position model. The record is from RNAcentral.